UGGGUUGUAUUUAAUUAUAAUAUCUGAUUUGCAUUCAGAAGGUACUUUAGUAGUCUUCCUUA
Molecule: transfer RNA, 62 nt
Filed under: Mitjaevia shibingensis
Lineage: Eukaryota; Metazoa; Arthropoda; Insecta; Hemiptera; Cicadellidae
Description: tRNA-Ala
Source: RNAcentral